Molecule: non-coding RNA, 5091 nt
Organism: Delphinapterus leucas (beluga whale)
Lineage: Eukaryota; Metazoa; Chordata; Mammalia; Artiodactyla; Monodontidae
Source: RefSeq, a predicted model, not a curated record
ACGUGCCCAGCUGUUUUCUGCGCUUAAUUAACCAAGUCUGCAUGAUCUGAUUAACCCAGAUGUUAGAACAUUGAUCCCAGAGAAAGAAGAAACCAUCUGUGGAAUUUACCCCUGGAUGGACCUCUCAGUUGCUUGAUCUGAUGUCCUGAGAAUCCCAGAAUCCAAGGAGAACCCAGCAGCUUUUCACUGAGCAAGGAACUGAUCACGCUAAAGUGUGAGUAUGGCUUGUGUCUCCAAAGGACAUGUAUCUUUUUAAAAGGUGCUUGUUAAGCUACAAGAAUUCUUAACGGGUAGAGUGAAUGUGUGUGUGUGUGUGUGUGUGUGUGUGUGAGUGACAGAGAGAGAGAGAGAGAGAGAGAGAGAGAGGGAGAGAGGGAAAGGAGGAGAUGCUUUGAGAUACUCCUUGAUCACCUUUCUAAGUAUAAUCAUCCCCCUCUUGAAAAAUCUGCCAAGGAUCGAAAACCACAGAAUCACAGUGAUAGGCACACAGGGACCUUAAUAAAUGUUAGGUUUUUACUGAAGAGCUAUCACUUACUGAAUAUUCACCUGGUACUUUCCUAUGCUUUUUCUAGUCCUCACCUGUAAGGUAAAUAUUUGUUAUCCUCAUACAUAGAUGAAGAAAAUGAAUUACAGAGAAGUUAAGAAAUGUAUUCAAGAUCACAUAACCAGCAUUCAAAUCCAGGUCUGCUUAAUUCCACACUUUCUCUUUCCACUGACACAAUUCUACAUUUAUGGAUGCUUGAACUCAUCUCUGCAACCCCAAAGAUUAUGUGCUAUUACCCACUGCCAUUUCCCCUUAACUCUCACCUUUGCCAGUUAAACAAAGACUCACAGCUUAGGAACCAACCUAGGGCAUUUGAAAGGAAGGUCACUUCCUUGCUCUUUUAUUACUUUAAAACAGUCCUUAUAUUCUUUUCAAUGUAAUAUUCCUUUUGCUCAGCCUAGGUCACCGUUGUAAUUCUUGAGAAAGAUCUAAUAUUCUACUUUAGAAAAAUACACACAUAUUUCUACAUUGAGAAUCUAUGGGAAACCCCCAUAGACUGUUGAUUCUGUGGUUCUUUUGUUUGUUUGUUUUAAUUAUGAGGCACACUGCUUUGGGCUGUCUUUUUAAAUAUAAAUGUGCUUCAGUGAUUGAACAUACUACAAAACUUUUCACAGAAUUAUCAUUUAAUCUGAAACAUCUGUAAUAGAAUUUUCUUUUUAGUAACUUGAGCUUGUUCUUGAAUGAUCAGGUGUUUUUCUCCUAGAUUUUGUGUUAUAACUUAGUCUUUCUAGAUCAGUCAUUACACUUUCGAGUUAUUUGGGGUUCUCAUUCCCUAUUAAUUAAAAUCCAAAUUCCCUGGCAUUCAAGGCUUCCAAGACAUGGCUUUACAAGCUUUAUUUCUCCUUUAAUUCAGAGUUUUUGAUUUGUCUAUCACUGAUAUCCUAAAAUUAAGAAGUCACAUUCUGUUUUAUAAUGUUAUUAACAAUUUAAAAAGAAGAUUACUCUUAAAGUAAGUUUCUGUAAACCUCUUUCAGUUUUUUGAGAUAAUCCAUGCAUAGAUAAGAAAAUGAUUAAUUUUUAAACACAUCUUAACGAGGAAAAGGUCUUAAAGUGUUCAAAAAUAAUGUAUGAUGACAAUUAGUUUUAUUAUACUUGGUUUGGAAAAUCAUCUUUACAAAAUAAAUAGCUAGCACUCUGAUUAUAAAUAUCUAGUGAAAAUAGCAAUAAUUUAUUUAGAGAGAAUGUGCUAACCUUAGAUUGUACAAAGAUGCCUAUGUGACCUCCACAGGCAAAGUUAGUGGUCAACAGGGAGGGCUAUUCAGCGAAUUCAGGCAAAAUGGUGAAAGGGAAAAGGUAAAGGUCUUUUUUUUUUUUUCUUUUUUAAAGGAACUUGCUGUACUCACUUACUAUCUAAAUUCCUGUGAUUAAAAAUACUUACUUGCAACUGUCACAGAACAAUACAAAGCUCCUACCAAAUAAAUAAUUUUAUCAACAAAAUGUGUGUGGGGAUGUUCCUGUUUGUAUGAAUCUCUGUACAGUACAGGAUCAUUUUAUUAAAAAUAUUACAAUAAAAUAUAUAAUUUUAGGAACUGGUCAAUACCCAUGCAUUUUCAAACUGUAGUACUUGGCAAACUAAAAGUAUAUAGUUAAUAAGAAAAUUUUGAAAGUACAUUGUAAUUUGUAUUAAUAGUAUAGGAUUUAUAAUAAAAUAUGCAGACCAUUCAUCUUAAUCAUUUGAGGUUCUAAUGUGAUUGAUUUAAGUGUCCUAUUUAAAUUUAAGAAUUUACAUUUAUUUCAGCAGAUCUCAGAUAGUUCAUAGAAAAAAGCAUAUGUCUUCACUCCUUUUAAUAUUUGAAUUAUAAUUUUUCAAAUCAGAUUUCUCACUUAAUUUGUUUAUAGAGCUCUACAUUUGGAUAAAACAAUAUUAAUGCUUUUGCACAUAAAAUGAAUUCUUAAUACUAACCAGUACAUAUAUUGUAAUCUCCUUUUAAGAUUUAGUUGACUUUUUCAUCUUCCUUUUAAGUUAUAGAAGACGUUAGAUAAAAAUUAGGUCCCUUCAAAUAUACAUGGCCCUAGCUCUAACCACCAAUAUGAUAGAAUAUUAGAGACAUUAGAGCUUGCCAAAACUAGAGUUAUUGAUCCUGUGACCUGGAACAUUUUUUUAUUACUUUUAUUGUCACUUUUCUCCUCCUGAAGCUUCCUUUUUAAAGGGAGAGUAUUCAGAGGAAGGUCUGCUCUUGGGAUCUGGUGAGGUUGCUGGUGCCAGAGGAGCAAUUAUCCCCUCAAUUAGAUACAGAUUUGGCUCUGGAAGAGAACUGAGAAGGGGGACAAUGUUCAUAUCUUUGUACCUAGAAGGAGUGUGUCUGAAAUCUUAUGAUGCAUGUUUUAAAAGUACAAAGAAACGUGAUAGAAAAUUGCAUGUAGAUAUACUGCAUGUUAUUUAUUAUAAUUUUCAGAUGUAUAUUUUCCCACAUUUCAACAUCUCUUGAAACUUGGAGGCAUCUAACCAUUUAGCAAUUAUAAUUGGAUUGGCAGUACUUUUCUUUCUUAAUAGUACAUAAAAUAACGGUGCAUCAUUCAGUUUAUGGUGUCUUCCAUUCAGUUAGAUAUAAAUAUGGGUAGAUGGAAAUAUUCCAGGUGGGGAUAUAAUUAAAAGAGACAACCUGACCCCUUAAGUAUUUUAUGAGUUUGUCUGUAGUCUAGUCUUUUGUGACUCGUUCAAUAACAAAUUUUCAAGUGACUAUUAUUCUAAGAUGGUAGAGAUAAUGAACAAAGACCCUAUCCUCACAGAGCAUACAGGGAGCUGGGAAAACAGACAAUUAGAUGUUUAAUUUUAAUAUGUGGUAUGUAGAAGCAAAAGUGCUAAGGGCCUACAAAUCUCUGGGGGAGGGGUUCCAAUCUACUCCAGUGGGUUCUUGGAAAUCACAUUCAUAUGGGGACUUGAGGACCAGUAGCAGUGUAACUGCUUAUGCAAAAGCCUGGAGACUGCAGAGGAGCUGGCACAUUAGAGGAGCUGAAAGAAGGUUAAUAAUCAUGAGGAUGAGAAUAUAUUCAGCUCAUUUACAUCUGUUGAUACUCUACUGUACUUGCUUUGAGAGCGAAUACAAUUCACCAGUCACAGACCACUCUGAAUAGGCAACGUAUUCUGACUUUAGCAUUGUGACAACAGUUCCAAAUAUCUUUCAUCUCAAUUUCCUAACAUGAAUUCAGAUACACUAUUUUGUAUUUCAUACCACAGAAGAGUAGUGUAGGUAAAGAAUAGCAUUUUGAUGCCUAAUUUUCUGAAUAUAUUUAAAACAUGAGCUCCUUUAUUUUAUGAAAUACUUAAGGGGCAUAUUAAAAUUCAGCAAGUUCUAAUCCAGUGGGAAGUUUGUUGGGUUUAGGUGUUGGAACACAGGUAGAAGAACAUCCAUCUAAGGAAGUAAGAUCUACAGUUAUAAGUGGUGGUCCAAGAGCCCAUGCAUCAAAAUAGCAUCAUGACAGCAGGGAAGAAAAAUAGGCAAACUAGUUCGGCAUAUAUAUUUUAUUGCUACUGUCACUGUCUAUUUAUUAAACAAACAAAAGUCCUAUGAAUUUAUCGCUGGCUUUACAGACAUCAUAUAUUGACUUAAAUAUUUUCACUGUCUUCCAUUGUGUGUCAUUGGAGGUCAUUUCUUUGUUAUGGGUAGGUGGCUGACUUCCUUCCAUAUCCAGCCAUUAGCUCACUUCUUUUAGAAUAGGAAAUCUUGCCUGUGAAAAAAGUCACAAAAGAAGACUCCUGCUUUCAGGCUAACUAAAAUGUUUCUAGGGAGGAAAGAUAUGUAACUCAAUUAGGGAUAAUUCUAUAUUUGUAUUCUUAAUAACCAGAGAUAGUAGUCUUAUUUGAGUUACAAUUAAUGUAGGGAGGGACAUCAUCUAAUUUCACUAUAUACCUAAAAGUCAUGGAAAUAACAGACUCACUUCACGAUUAAUUAGAUCUUUAUCAAAGUCUUUUAGACAAUUAUGCUUGGAUUUAACAUUUAGGGGGCUGAGCAAGAGAGAAAUGGACGUACAUUUAGACAGCCUGGUAUAUUAUUUCAGAGCAUGAGAGAUCUGAACAGGCUUUGCAGUUUAUUAAUUGGGUGACUUUGGUCAAAUUAGCCUCUUAGUAUUUUGGUUUGUUCAUCUCUAAAAUAUGGAUAAUAGUUCCAGAAUUUUCCCUUUUUUGAGAUUAAAAUGUAAUAUGUGCAAAAUUCUUGGCACAGGGCCUCUUACCUAAUACAUUCUCAGAAAAUAUGUGCCUUUCAGCAAUAAGUUGUGCUAGUAUUUCUCUGUUAUUGUUUGUCUUGACCCUUGUCCCCUGAGAGUUUGAAUUCUGCCAUUUGGACAUGGCCAAUGGGAUGGCCAGGCAAGGCAUUAGGGGGUAGAAGGAAAAGCAGGGGUAUUCAUUUCCCCUGCUUUCUCCCUGCUAUGCUUCAACUUUGGCACUAGCUGCAUUCUUCUUAUGGCCACAGCUCCUGUCCAGUGGUCCCCCUCCCAUAGCCAGAGUUCACAGUCAAGCUGACACUGCUGCCUUCUCAGGCCGAGGAACGGCAAUGGCUUUUCUUCUCAUGUUGCUUCAGGGGACACGGGUUCGAGCCCUGGUCCAG